RNAcentral lists this ribosomal RNA (465 nucleotides) under uncultured bacterium. RNAcentral's name for it is "partial 16S ribosomal RNA". It matches the Rfam family "Bacterial small subunit ribosomal RNA", at positions 28 to 507 of the family's 1533-position model. The record is from RNAcentral.
GACGAACGCUGGCGGCGUGCUUAACACAUGCAAGUCGAACGGAAAGGCCCUGCUUGCAGGGUACUCGAGUGGCGAACGGGUGAGUAACACGCGGGUGAACUGCCCUCCACUUCGGGAUAAGCCUGGGAGGCAGGGUGUAAUACCGGCUAGGAGCCAUUUUUAGUGUGAUGGUUGGAAAGUUUUUUCGGUGUUGGCUGAGCUCGCGGCCUAUCAGCUUGUUGGUGGGGUUAUGGCCUACCAAAGCGGCGGCGGGUAGCCGGCCUGAGUGGGUGGACGGCCACAUUGGGUCUGAGAUGCGGCCCAGACUCCUACGGGAGGCAGCAGUGGGGAAGAUUGCACGAUGGGCGCAAGCCUGAUGCAGCGACGCCGCGUGGGGGAUGACUGCCUUCGGGUUGUAAACUACUUUCGCAAGUGACGAAGCUUUUUGUGACGGUACCUAGAUAAGAAGCACCGGCUAACUACGUG